This 78-nucleotide transfer RNA is filed under the name Aeromonas veronii. Its description in RNAcentral is "tRNA-Arg". It matches the Rfam family "tRNA". Rfam says of the family: Transfer RNA (tRNA) molecules are approximately 80 nucleotides in length. Their secondary structure includes four short double-helical elements and three loops (D, anti-codon, and T loops). Lineage: Bacteria; Pseudomonadati; Pseudomonadota; Gammaproteobacteria; Aeromonadales; Aeromonadaceae. The record is from RNAcentral.
GCUUCCAUAACUCAGCCUGGAUUAGAGUAUCGGCCUUCUAAGCCGAGAGCGGGGGUUCGAAUCCCUCUGGGAGCGCCA